GUUGGGUAGGCGGGGGCUAGGGGUCCCCUAUCCGCAAAUAUCCCCUUAGCGGGCCACAUGGGGAGGUGUGAUAGAGCCCUCAUGAUAGUUGCUGUAGGGCAGAUGAGUCGGCACCUCCACAAUAACCAUCUACACUGAAACGGGUCAGGCCGAAAGGAGCAUCCCUAAGGUGUAGGUGGUUGUUUGUGGAGAUUGCUAAGAUGAUGUCUAAGGUAACAAUUCAUGAGCAAGCUUUAUCGCUCCCUCCCCUCCCAAC
RNAcentral lists this signal recognition particle RNA (256 nucleotides) under Microcaldota archaeon. RNAcentral's name for it is "Candidatus Micrarchaeota archaeon (hot springs metagenome) signal recognition particle sRNA large type". The stretch from base 106 to 204 matches the Rfam family "Bacterial small signal recognition particle RNA". The record is from RNAcentral. Lineage: Archaea; Nanobdellati; Microcaldota. RNAcentral also lists the same sequence under 1 other name.